This is a long non-coding RNA of Raphanus sativus (radish), 1574 nucleotides long. RefSeq lists it as uncharacterized. The transcript has 3 exons. NCBI's taxonomy places the organism in Eukaryota, Viridiplantae, Streptophyta, Magnoliopsida, Brassicales, Brassicaceae. The record is from RefSeq and is a predicted model, not a curated record.
UGACUAAAGCUAAUCACGAUUGUCGAGCUCUUUCUUCAACCAUGGUGAUCUUCAGAUUUCUAGGGUUCAUUUCAUCCUCUUUUUCUUUCUGUAUUUAGGUGGACUGACCAUGGAGUUUCCGGAUUUCGUGAGGAAUCUCUUUAGUGAGCUUUGUUCGUGUCGUUGUGUCUCAGAUUCUUCUCCUUACGACCAUUAAGAGAUUCAUUGAUUUAACGUCAUUGACGACCUUCUUUAUUCCUUAGCCCCACUCCAACCAUGAUCACUCAUUAAAUGCAUUUACCUCUCUUCAAGGCGGUGGAGCUUCAGUUAUAAAAAGAUAAGCCUUGAACAUCAUCGAUUCUAAUAGCUUCAAUUAUCACAAAUCCUAAUAGCACUUGAAUUUUUUUUUCCAGUAGAAUGGCAAACUCAUCGAUUCUCCUCGCUGAGGCUGGCUUGCCGUUGUUCUUUAAAGCACUUGCCUACUGAGAUCGAGAUUUAUUACUACUUCAUUGUCUUUCCUUUCCGGACUGAUCAGAAGUAGUAAGAGGCCGCUAGCAAUUGGUCGCCUCAACAGCUUAAACAAGAGAACCCUUGAUGUGAUCGCUUCAAGUUUGUAUUUUUACUAUUCUUUGAGUUAUGAGAAGCAUGGUUAUCUUGAUGAGAUUCGUGGUACUCAAUCCGUCCUUGCGCCAUUCUGCAACAACGUCAUGAUGCGUUCGGUCAGAUACGUCUUGAAAUUCUUGACUCAGCUUUUGUUUUGGUUAUUCAAUGUGUCAUUUUAUGAGUGCAGGAAAUACUUCUGAAUCUCUUGCUUUGCAACUAUCUGCACUACAUCCUUUAUGAUCAAGUAGAGAAGUUGAGAUAAAAAGUAAAAAGAUUUGAGGCACAUUCUAACUAACAUGUUUAUCUUUUAGUAGUUAUUAUUUCAUACCAAUUGGUUAUUGGUUAGGUGUAGCUUUCUAGAUUAUAAUUAUAUCGUUUCUCUGAUCUCUUAUGCUAAACUUUCAAAUAUGGUGUUUAUAUGUAAGAUCAUUGGGUAUGAUCUUUUUCUCUUAUCAUGGGCUAGCUCUUUUUGUUUCAUGGGACAUCUUCAACUAUUGUAUAUAAUAUGAUUUUCACAUACGCAUUCUGGUUACGCCAUAUAUAUGCGUAUUUUUAUAUUUAGAAUGCAAAAAGGUUGAUUGAGUAUUGAUAAAACAGGUCCGAUGUGAGAAAAAUAGAUGUAUAUGGCAGAUGAAGAAAAACUAAAAACGAGAAAAGAUGAGAAAGUCACGAAUGUGUUGAAUUUAUAGCUGCUGUCUUUUCGGAUUUCACCAGAAGAAUAGUGUAAGCAUCAGUGAGGAAUUUUAUUCUCUGGCAAAGAAGCUUAAAAGGAAAGUCCAGUCUCCGACAAGAGGUCGUGUUUUAAAUUUACAGCCAUGUCUUGAUUAAUAUGUUUUAGAUGUAAAUUUUCCUGUGGUAGUUUAUCUUAAAAGUUUGUCAUUUAGUUUGGUUUUUGUCUUAUUUUUAUCUGUACAUGUUUUCCCACAGAUUGGUGUGGUGGACAAUAGCACUUUGUUCUUUUGGUCAAUUUUCAGUAAAUUUACUUUUUCUCA